Molecule: ribosomal RNA, 461 nt
Filed under: uncultured bacterium
Lineage: Bacteria
Description: partial 16S ribosomal RNA
Rfam family: Bacterial small subunit ribosomal RNA
Source: RNAcentral
CCUACGGGAGGCAGCAGUGAGGAAUAUUGGUCAAUGGGCUUACGCCUGAACCAGCCAAGUCGCGUGAGGGAAGACUGCCCUAUGGUUUGUAAACCUCUUUUGUCAGGGAGCAACGCCGGCUACGUGUAGCCGGACUGAGAGUACCUUAAGAAAAAGCAUCGGCUAACUCCGUGCCAGCAGCCGCGGUAAUACGUAGGGGGCAAGCGUUAUCCGGAUUUACUGGGUGUAAAGGGAGCGUAGACGGCUGUACAAGUCUGAAGUGAAAGCCCGUGGCUCAACCGCGGAACUGCUUUGGAAACUGUAAAGCUGGAGUACUGGAGAGGCAGGCGGAAUUCCUAGUGUAGCGGUGAAAUGCGUAGAUAUUAGGAGGAACACCAGUGGCGAAGGCGGCCUGCUGGACAGAAACUGACGUUGAGGCUCGAAAGCGUGGGGAGCAAACAGGAUUAGAUACCCCUGUAGUC